AGAAAGGCGGACAUGUAAAGAUAAAGCGCGGGGUUUCAUAUUCAAAACCAUCGACCUCGAGUACUACGUGUCACGAGAAAAUCUCUCUCUCUCUCUCUCUCUCUCUCUCUUUCUCUCUCUUUCUCUUUCUAUAUGUGUGUGUGUGUGUAUAUAUAUAUAUUUGGGAUUCGUGCCAGUAAUAAGCAGUAGAGUUUCUUCUCUUUGCUUAAACAUCAGAAACCUUUGCCUCUUCUGCGAUUUUUCGUUCAUCUCAGUGUUGAAGAUGAUCACAGCUGCUCGAACUCAAAUUCUCGCUGGCCAUGGCUUUUCUCUCAUGGUGGUGCAGUCUUCUAGCACGACAUUUUUGCCUAAAAGGUUCAAAGAUAAUAGGAAAGCAGCUGAUGCCUCUUGUAAGGAUUUUAUCCCCUCCAGCAGUACUCCUGAAAGAUAUCAAUUCUAAGUCUAAAUUUGUGGAUUGAUAGCUUUCAGGUUUGGAAUAGGGAAUGAAGCCAGUGGUCCGUGUAGCAUAGGAUAACUUAUUAUAUUGAUGUCUGGUGUAAAUUGCUUGCUCUGAAAUUAAUUUAGAUGAUAUAAAUAUUUGUUCAAUCUCUUUUUGUCUCUUUUAAAUCUUUGUGCCAUUCACAAUA
Long non-coding RNA from Carica papaya (papaya), 626 nucleotides. RefSeq lists it as uncharacterized. Lineage: Eukaryota; Viridiplantae; Streptophyta; Magnoliopsida; Brassicales; Caricaceae. The record is from RefSeq and is a predicted model, not a curated record.